Molecule: long non-coding RNA, 323 nt
Organism: Macrosteles quadrilineatus (aster leafhopper)
Lineage: Eukaryota; Metazoa; Arthropoda; Insecta; Hemiptera; Cicadellidae
Exons: 3
Source: RefSeq, a predicted model, not a curated record
AUGAACAUUUAAGGAAAAAGAUGAGGAAAUAAUGGAGACAAUAGUGAAUUCAAGUGUAAGAAAGUUUUAUUCGAAAAUUGAUCAGAUCGACUUGCCAAUUGGUUUCAUUUAUCAACCAAUAUGUGCCAAGGUCAACCCAAGGUCAUCCAAUCAACGGCGUCCGACCAAGCAUUACUUCCAUUGAGAGGGUGAUUCUGAUUCAAUUAUACUAUUGAAUAUUAACUAGUGAAUUGUACCCCGGCUCCCGAGACGUCACAGAAGAAGGAAGUGCAGUUCUGCUACAGUAGAGGCAGAAUGUCACCUUGUAGCGCCAUCUUCACGCU